Molecule: long non-coding RNA, 3419 nt
Organism: Betta splendens (Siamese fighting fish)
Lineage: Eukaryota; Metazoa; Chordata; Actinopteri; Anabantiformes; Osphronemidae
Exons: 2
Source: RefSeq, a predicted model, not a curated record
AUCUUGAAAUUCCAAAUGCAGCAGUAAUGACUUUUGUGCUGUCUGACAUUUCUAUCGGGAACAUUUCCAGCAAUUUUGCUGUGUCGCCCAGUACGGUUCAGAGAAGAAUGGGGUGUUGAGUAUUAAGUUGCGACCACACUAACUAGCGAACAACUUGUGACGCAUCUGAAUCCAGUUUUAUGUUGCGCAAAUUUGAAAACCGCUGGGUUGCAAACACUGAUUGUAUUGUUUAUGCAUUAAAAACACAACAUUCUCAAUGUAUUUGUGUCUGUGCGCAGUGUUAAGUGGCCUCAUGACAUUCUCUCAAGCAGAGUGGUGUUAUUUCGGAGGGACCCUGAAAGCACCACUAAGGAAGAAGGUACGGAUGAAAGGGUAAGGUGUUUACAUCAGUAAAAGUAGUAUACAGGAAGAGAAAGUAAUAAAGAACCUAGUGAAGUUAUUUUGGUUAAAGCUACACUUGAAAGCUGUAACAAGGACAGUUAUUAUGUAGUUAUGGACAUCGUAGAGCUAGAGUAUUUUGUGCUUAAUUACGUAGAUAACUGUGUUAAUCAAAUAUGCUAACUACUUCAUAAAGCAUAUAUAUAUGGUCCAAUGUGUUUUUUUUUAUUUUGUUGUGCAAUGUAUGUUAGUAAAUUUAUCUAGCUCUAACGUUGGUUUCAGGAUACUGAAGAAAUAAAGAAACAUCAGACCAUCAGUAAAGCUGAUUUUCUUGACUGGACAAUAUACUGACUUACAUGGUUUAACUGGCCUAAUACAAACUAGAUAAAACAUUUCCAUAAGAAAAUGCACAGUGAAUGCUUCCAUGCUGAAUGUAGUCCUGAAGAAUUGCUGAAAGUAGCUGAAACAUUUAAAACAGGUGAAAAUAGCUCCACCAUGUAAAGCAUAGAUGAAUGUAUCUGAAGAGAAUUAGGAAGUGUUUUGUUAAACAGGGCUGAAUAUUUGCAGAAGAUGCUAAAAUAGUGUAAAGUGCAUUUCAAAUGGAGGAAACUUGAAAUAGAUUUUCUGAAAUUAAAGAGCUGCUGAAAAUCAAGGAAGUGUGUAAAGGUUUGUUGAAAUAUAGCCAAACAUAGCAAAAUGGCUAAAUAUUGUAAUUUAAAAGUUUUGAUUUCAAGAGCUGAAUGAGUAGCUCAACGUUUUGGAAAUAUUUAAUACAACUGAAAUUUGCUGCAGAACAAGUAGUUGAAUUUAAAAUUAAAAAAUCGUUGAAGCUUUGAAGAAAGUGUGUGCUGGUAUUUGCUGAACAGCAAAAUAGUUUCAUUAGUCAUAAUUAACUAGUCAAAUGCGGAAAAGUGAUAUUAUAAGAGUUAGAUUGGUGCUUUUAUUUUGAAAGGAAUUUGAGGAAGUGUGUGUCCUAAAUUGCUAAACUGGAAAAAGCACUCAAUUAGUCAUAAAUAACUAGUCAAAAGCAGAAAUUGAAAUCUUUUUCAUGGACGUUCAUUGAGAUGAAAAGGCAGGAAAAUCCGGCUCAUUCUGCUCUGUGAAAGCAGCACCCCUGCUAAACAGACUUCUUGCAGCGAAACCAUAAUACCUAUCACAAAAAUUUGUGAACCUUUUGCAUGCCAAGGCUUUAAUGAGCAACUGAUGUGAGUUUUAUGUUUAAAGAGUAAAGAUUUUGGUCACAGUCGCGAUUUAAAAAAAUGUCCUACUUCUGCGUUUCGCUGAAAAAGUAUCGCAGCCAAAUGCAUUACACUCUAUGGGAGGAAUUCUGGAACUGUCUGCGCUUUAAGGCAGCUGCAGACUAAAGAAUAGAUCUGAGGACUUAACCAGACACAUUAUUAGAAAGAAGACAAGUAUGACUACUGUAUGAACGAGUGAAAAAAUUUGGUUCAUAAAGUGAAAACUGUGGCUGUAGUGACGAGUUCAAGAGAACUUGAAUGAGUAUCAUUAUAUUCACUAUGGGCAAACAAAUUACUUUAAAGGUCCCUGCACAUGCAAAAUUCACUUUUUGGACAUUCUGGUAAAUUUAUAUGACUCCCUGGUUCAUUUAAGACACUCCUGGUGUGUUAGAAGUACGCCCCCUACUUAUUUCAAAUUUUUGAGAGUUUAUCUAUCCGGUUCAAGAACCAUCUGUUUCAAAUUUAGCAAACUAUGUACGUCUGCAUUCUAUUAACCACUCACAGAACCAGCUUCAGCCCCGCCCAGACAAACCUGGGCACCGAAAUUUAGCUGCAACAUUCUGUUUCAGUCACUCAUUGUGAACUCUAGCAUAUUAGGUGGCGGUAAUACACCUUUUAGUUGGUUUCCAUUUAAAAGACAAAAGAAGGAGAAGUCACUCACUGUGGCAAACUGAGAUGGGGCCAUUAGGGUUCAGAAAGUGCUUCGUUGUUGGUUGUUCCAACCAGCAUCGCAGCCUUUUCAUUUUACCAGCGGAGCAAGAAAAGAGAACUUUAUAUAUUAAUUUUAUUGUGAAUAGACCGGUGUGGGCACCGCUGCCUUAAUGCUUCUUUGUGUGUGGACACCAUUUGAAAACGAGAGCAUAUUUAGUACUGGGCUUGAGGUUGAAGAAGGCCUCCUGCUUCCCCAAACGUAAGUACUGUACAUGCUUGAUACUUAUUUGAUGUAUGUACUCCAGAAGUUUCUGGUUAUGAUCUAGCUCCCCUCCCGUGUAAGGAAUGAAUUUGGGUUUGGCAAGUUCCGUCUAAGUCUAACAUGUAUGUGGUUGCUGUCUUCUUGUAAGUGUUGCUUAUUUAGUCAGCUAACUUUAAAUAUGACAUUGUUUUUUUUAUACAGGCUGACGCAUCCCAGCUACCCACAGGUAAAGAGGUUGCUUCUCAAUCUGACACGCCACUGCAGACUGUGGACACACAGCUACCUUGUAGAAGAUUAUGUGGAAAAGAUGAUGGAGACCAUCUUCAAUAAAGUCCUGCUGGACCAGGGUCGUUAUAUGGAGGACCUUAUUAACAUUUCCCUUUCCCACCGGCCCUCUGAGCAGAAUUUGAGCAACCUGACAGAAAGGAGGUCAUUAAUGCCAUGCCAAGAUUUAACAAACCAGCACUAUAAAAGCUAAGUUGAAAACAUGUUUGAUCCAAACACCAUUACAACUGAUUUAACUACCUCUGCAUAUUGUUACAUUUGUGAAGGUUGUGAGAUACAUAGGAAAUACUGGACAUUUCAUUAAUCUGAUAUUCUAUUCUCUAUACCUUCUAGAGUGGUGUCAAGGAAAACAGCUGCAUCCUUCAUCUGUACAGCAGCUGCACUGCUUUCGAUGUCUUUCAAAACGUGAUGAAGACAACAAGAUCCUCACAUCUCCCCAGCCAACUGCCCAUGACUGUACCUAUUCCACUCCAAAAACUAUGCUUUCAACAUAACUAUGAAUCCUACCCAUUCAUGUUGUGGUCUGCACAUUGAACUGUUAAGGUAACUUAUCCAGCAUUAUAGUUCUGGUGCAUUGGUUGACAAUAAAGUUGGCUUCAACUAUU